RNAcentral lists this ribosomal RNA (603 nucleotides) under uncultured Paenibacillus sp. Its description in RNAcentral is "bacterial SSU rRNA". It matches the Rfam family "Bacterial small subunit ribosomal RNA", at positions 933 to 1532 of the family's 1533-position model. Lineage: Bacteria; Bacillati; Bacillota; Bacilli; Caryophanales; Paenibacillaceae. The record is from RNAcentral.
UGGAGUAUGUGUUUAAUUCGACGCAACGCGAAGACCCUUACCUGGGCUUGACAUCCCCGGACGGCUCUGGAAACAGGGAUUUCUCCUUCGGGGGACCGGGAGACAGGUGGUGCAUGGUUGUCGUCAGCUCGUGUCGUGAGAUGUUGGGUUAAGACCCGCAACGAGCGCAACCCCUAAUUUUAGUUGCCAGCACUUCGGGUGGGCACUCUAAAGUGACUGCCGGUGACAAACCGGAGGAAGGUGGGGAUGACGUCAAAUCAUCAUGCCCCUUAUGACCUGGGCUACACACGUACUACAAUGGCCAGUACAACGGGAAGCGAAACCGCGAGGUGGAGCCAAUCCUAUCAAAGCUGGUCUCAGUUCGGAUUGCAGGCUGCAACUCGCCUGCAUGAAGUCGGAAUUGCUAGUAAUCGCGGAUCAGCAUGCCGCGGUGAAUACGUUCCCGGGUCUUGUACACACCGCCCGUCACACCACGAGAGUUUACAACACCCGAAGUCGGUGGGGUAACCCGCAAGGGAGCCAGCCGCCGAAGGUGGGGUAGAUGAUUGGGGUGAAGUCGUAACAAGGUAGCCGUAUCGGAAGGUGCGGCUGGAACACCUCCUU